Molecule: small nuclear RNA, 107 nt
Organism: Myotis lucifugus (little brown bat)
Lineage: Eukaryota; Metazoa; Chordata; Mammalia; Chiroptera; Vespertilionidae
Source: Ensembl
AUGCUUGCUUCGGCAGCACAUAUACUACAAUUGGAAUGAUACAGAGAAGAUUAGCAUGGCCCCUGCUCAAGGAUGACAUGCAAAUGCAUGAAGCGUUCCAUAUUUUA